UACGGGGGGGGCAAGCGUUGUUCGGAAUUACUGGGCGUAAAGCGUGCGCAGGCGGUUGUGCAAGACCGAUGUGAAAUCCCCGGGCUUAACCUGGGAACUGCAUUGGUGACUGCAGCGCUGGAGUAUGGCAGAGGGGGGUGGAAUUCCACGUGUAGCAGUGAAAUGCGUAGAGAUGUGGAGGAACACCGAUGGCGAAGGCAGCCCCCUGGGCCAAUACUGACGCUCAUGCACGAAAGCGUGGGGAGCAAACAGG
This 253-nucleotide ribosomal RNA is filed under the name uncultured bacterium. Its description in RNAcentral is "partial 16S ribosomal RNA". It matches the Rfam family "Bacterial small subunit ribosomal RNA", at positions 524 to 776 of the family's 1533-position model. The record is from RNAcentral.